GUUGCAGUUAAAAAGCUCGUAGUCGGAUUUCAGUAUUAGGCCCUUCUUCCAAUACGGUUGCUAGUGGUCUUUACUUCCUUAACAGAAUCUUUCAUCUCAUUAAUUUGGGGUGUUUGGGGCCUGUUUCUUUUACUUUGAGAAAAUUAGAGUGUUCAAAGCGGGUUUUCGCCUGGAUAUUACUCUUGGAAUAAUAAUAUAGGACUUUGGUUCUUUUUUGUUGGUGACUUAGAACCGAAGUAAUGAUUGAUAGGGACAGUUGGGGUCAUUCGUACUAUGAAGCGAGAGGUGAAAUUCAUGGACCUUUGUAUGACGAACUACUGCGAAAGCAUUUGACUAGGAUGUUCCCGUUGAUCAAGAACGAAAGUUGGGGGAUCGAAGACGAUCAGAUACCGUCGUAGUCUCAACCAUAAACUAUGCCAGCUAGGGAUUGGAGGAAUAU
Molecule: ribosomal RNA, 439 nt
Filed under: uncultured marine eukaryote
Lineage: Eukaryota
Description: SSU rRNA
Rfam family: Eukaryotic small subunit ribosomal RNA
Source: RNAcentral